GCCCCCCUUGUAGAGCGUACAAACCGUUGACAUUGAUUGUAGGGACCUAGGUUCGACUCCUAGGGGUGGCC
RNAcentral lists this transfer RNA (71 nucleotides) under Fusarium pseudograminearum CS5834. RNAcentral's name for it is "tRNA-Val". Lineage: Eukaryota; Fungi; Ascomycota; Sordariomycetes; Hypocreales; Nectriaceae. The record is from RNAcentral.